Molecule: ribosomal RNA, 438 nt
Filed under: uncultured Comamonadaceae bacterium
Lineage: Bacteria; Pseudomonadati; Pseudomonadota; Betaproteobacteria; Burkholderiales; Comamonadaceae
Description: bacterial SSU rRNA
Rfam family: Bacterial small subunit ribosomal RNA
Source: RNAcentral
AUUGAACGCUGGCGGAAUGCUUUACACAUGCAAGUCGAACGGUAGAGGGGGCAACCCCUUGAGAGUGGCGAACGGGUGAGUAAUGUAUCGGAACGUGCCCAGUCGUGGGGGAUAACGUAGUGAAAAUUACGCUAAUACCGCAUACGAUCUAUGGAUGAAAGCGGGGGAUCGCAAGACCUCGCGCGAUUGGAGCGGCCGAUAUCAGAUUAGGUAGUUGGUAGGGUAAAGGCCUACCAAGCCAACGAUCUGUAGCUGGUCUGAGAGGACGACCAGCCACACUGGAACUGAGACACGGUCCAGACUCCUACGGGAGGCAGCAGUGGGGAAUUUUGGACAAUGGGCGAAAGCCUGAUCCAGCCAUUCCGCGUGCAGGAUGAAGGCCCUCGGGUUGUAAACUGCUUUUGUACAGAACGAAAAGGUUUCUAUUAAUACUAGGAG